RNAcentral lists this non-coding RNA (26 nucleotides) under Mus musculus (house mouse). The record is from RNAcentral. Lineage: Eukaryota; Metazoa; Chordata; Mammalia; Rodentia; Muridae.
UGAAAGACUGGCUUCUUGAUGUGUGG